This 434-nucleotide ribosomal RNA is filed under the name uncultured bacterium. RNAcentral's name for it is "partial 16S ribosomal RNA". It matches the Rfam family "Bacterial small subunit ribosomal RNA", at positions 29 to 507 of the family's 1533-position model. The record is from RNAcentral.
AGCGAACGCUGGCGGCAGGCCUAACACAUGCAAGUCGAACGAACCUUUCGGGGUUAGUGGCGGACGGGUGAGUAACACGUGGGAACGUGCCUUUAGGUUCGGAAUAACUCAGGGAAACUUGUGCUAAUACCGAAUGUGCCCUUCGGGGGAAAGAUUAAUCGCCUUUAGAGCGGCCCGCGUCUGAUUAGCUAGUUGGUUGAGGUAAUGGCUCACCAAGGCGACGAUCAGUAGCUGGUCUGAGAGGAUGAUCAGCCACAUUGGGACUGAGACACGGCCCAAACUCCUACGGGAGGCAGCAGUGGGGAAUCUUGCGCAAUGGGCGAAAGCCUGACGCAACCAUGCCGCGUGAAUGAUGAAGGUCUUAGGAUUGUAAAAUUCUUUCACCGGGGACGAUAAUGACGGUACCCGGAGAAGAAGCCCCGGCUAACUUCGUG